This is a non-coding RNA of Ruminococcus sp. CAG:9-related_41_34, 242 nucleotides long. Lineage: Bacteria; Bacillati; Bacillota; Clostridia; Eubacteriales; Oscillospiraceae. The record is from Rfam.
CUAAAUGCAAUGACAGGGAGUAGUACAUAGUUUCCGGAUGCACAGAGAGAAGAUGGCCGGUGAGAAUCUUCGUGACAGUACUAUGGAAGUAGCCCUCGAGCAGUGGACUGAACCAUGAAUUUUCAUGCAGUAGGCUUCAACGUCAUUCCCACGUUACAGGGAAGCAGUAUAAUUUUGUACUGGCAGAGAGCAGAGUUUUACCUCUGAAAACAGGUGGUACCGCGGAAUCAUCCGUCCUGAGC